RNAcentral lists this ribosomal RNA (2924 nucleotides) under Acinetobacter baumannii. RNAcentral describes it as "23S ribosomal RNA". It matches the Rfam family "Bacterial large subunit ribosomal RNA". Lineage: Bacteria; Pseudomonadati; Pseudomonadota; Gammaproteobacteria; Moraxellales; Moraxellaceae. The record is from RNAcentral.
GUUGUAUAGUCAAGUAAUUAAGUGCAUGUGGUGGAUGCCUUGGCAGUCAGAGGCGAUGAAAGACGUGAUAGCCUGCGAAAAGCUCCGGGAGGCGGCAAAUAUCCUUUGAUCCGGAGAUGUCUGAAUGGGGAACCCACCUACUUUAAGGUAGGUAUUGCAACAUGAAUACAUAGUGUUGCAAGGCGAACGAGGGAAGUGAAACAUCUCAGUACCCUUAGGAAAAGAAAUCAAUUGAGAUUCCCUCAGUAGCGGCGAGCGAACGGGGAUCAGCCCAUUAAAGUUAUGUGUGUUUUUUGGUGGAACGCUCUGGGAAGUGCGAACGUAGAGGGUGAUAUUCCCGUACACGAAAGGGCACACAUAAUGAUGACGAGUAGGGCGAGGGCACGUGAAACCUUGUCUGAAUAUGGGGGGACCAUCCUCCAAGGCUAAAUACUCCUGACUGACCGAUAGUGAACCAGUACCGUGAGGGAAAGGCGAAAAGAACCCCUGUGAGGGGAGUGAAAUAGAUCCUGAAACCGCAUGCAUACAAGCAGUGGGAGCACCUUCGUGGUGUGACUGCGUACCUUUUGUAUAAUGGGUCAGCGACUUAUAUUCAGUAGCGAGGUUAACCGUAUAGGGGAGCCGUAGAGAAAUCGAGUCUUAAUAGGGCGUUUAGUUGCUGGGUAUAGACCCGAAACCAGGCGAUCUAUCCAUGAGCAGGUUGAAGGUUGGGUAACACUAACUGGAGGACCGAACCCACUGUCGUUGAAAAGCCAGGGGAUGACUUGUGGAUAGGGGUGAAAGGCUAAUCAAGCCUGGUGAUAGCUGGUUCUCCCCGAAAGCUAUUUAGGUAGCGCCUCGGACGAAUACCAUAGGGGGUAGAGCACUGUUUCGGCUAGGGGGUCAUCCCGACUUACCAAACCGAUGCAAACUCCGAAUACCUAUGAGUACUAUCCGGGAGACAGACUGCGGGUGCUAACGUCCGUAGUCAAGAGGAAAACAAUCCAGACCGCCAGCUAAGGCCCCAAAAUCAUAGUUAAGUGGGAAACGAUGUGGGAAGGCAUAGACAGCUAGGAGGUUGGCUUAGAAGCAGCCACCCUUUAAAGAAAGCGUAAUAGCUCACUAGUCGAGUCGGCCUGCGCGGAAGAUGUAACGGGGCUAAAACUAUGUGCCGAAGCUGCGGAUGUAUACUUUGUAUACGUGGUAGGGGAGCGUUCUGUAAGCCGAUGAAGGUGUGUUGAGAAGCAUGCUGGAGGUAUCAGAAGUGCGAAUGCUGACGUGAGUAACGACAAAACGGGUGAAAAACCCGUUCGCCGAAAGACCAAGGGUUCCAGUCCAACGUUAAUCGGGGCUGGGUGAGUCGACCCCUAAGGCGAGGCCGAAAGGCGUAGUCGAUGGGAAAAUGGUUAAUAUUCCAUUACUUCUGUGUAAUGCGAUGAGAGGACGGAGAAGGCUAAAUCAGCCUGGCGUUGGUUGUCCAGGUGAAAGGAUGUAGGCAUGUAUCUUAGGCAAAUCCGGGGUACUCUAUGCUGAGAUCUGAUAGCAAGCUGUACUUGUACAGCGAAGUGGUUGAUGCCAUGCUUCCAGGAAAAGUCUCUAAGCUUCAGUUACACAGGAAUCGUACCCGAAACCGACACAGGUGGUCAGGUCGAGUAGACCAAGGCGCUUGAGAGAACUCUGCUGAAGGAACUAGGCAAAAUGGUACCGUAACUUCGGGAGAAGGUACGCUGUUGUUGGUGAUGGAACUCGCUUCCUGAGCUGACGACAGCCGCAGAAACCAGGCCGCUGCAACUGUUUAUUAAAAAACAUAGCACUCUGCAAACACGAAAGUGGACGUAUAGGGUGUGAUGCCUGCCCGGUGCUGGAAGGUUAAUUGAUGGGGUUAGCGUAAGCGAAGCUCUUGAUCGAAGCCCCAGUAAACGGCGGCCGUAACUAUAACGGUCCUAAGGUAGCGAAAUUCCUUGUCGGGUAAGUUCCGACCUGCACGAAUGGCAUAAUGAUGGCGGCGCUGUCUCCAGCAGAGGCUCAGUGAAAUCGAAAUCGCUGUGAAGAUGCAGUGUACCCGCGGCUAGACGGAAAGACCCCGUGAACCUUUACUGCAGCUUGACACUGAACUUUGACCUUACUUGUGUAGGAUAGGUGGGAGGCUUUGAAGCUGGAACGCUAGUUCCAGUGGAGCCGUCCUUGAAAUACCACCCUGGUAAUGUUGAGGUUUCUAACUCUGUCCCGUGAUCCGGGACGAGGACCGUGUCUGGUGGGUAGUUUGACUGGGGCGGUCUCCUCCUAAAGAGUAACGGAGGAGUUUACGAAGGUGCGCUCAGCGUGGUCGGAAAUCACGCGUAGAGUAUAAAGGCAAAAGCGCGCUUAACUGCGAGACCCACAAGUCGAGCAGGUACGAAAGUAGGUCUUAGUGAUCCGGUGGUUCUGUAUGGAAGGGCCAUCGCUCAACGGAUAAAAGGUACUCUGGGGAUAACAGGCUGAUACCGCCCAAGAGUUCAUAUCGACGGCGGUGUUUGGCACCUCGAUGUCGGCUCAUCUCAUCCUGGGGCUGAAGCAGGUCCCAAGGGGUAUGGCUGUUCGCCAUUUAAAGAGGUACGCGAGCUGGGUUUAGAACGUCGUGAGACAGUUCGGUCCCUAUCUACCGUGGGCGCUGGAAAUUUGAGAGGAUCUGCUCCUAGUACGAGAGGACCAGAGUGGACGAACCUCUGGUGUACCGGUUGUGACGCCAGUCGCAUCGCCGGGUAGCUAUGUUCGGAAGGGAUAACCGCUGAAAGCAUCUAAGCGGGAAGCCUACCUCAAGAUAAGAUUUCCCUAGGACUUUAUGUCCUCUAAAGAGCCGUUCGAGACUAGGACGUUGAUAGGUUGGAUGUGGAAGCAUAGUGAUAUGUGAAGCUGACCAAUACUAAUUGCUCGUGAGGCUUGACUAUACAACACCCAAGCAGUUG